AUUGAACGCUGGCGGCAGGCUUAACACAUGCAAGUCGAGCGAGCGGCGGACGGGUGAGUAAUGUCUGGGAAACUGCCUGAUGGAGGGGGAUAACUACUGGAAACGGUAGCUAAUACCGCAUACUAUCGGAUGAACCCAUAUGGGAUUAGCUAGUUGGUGAGGUAAUGGCUCACCAAGGCGACGAUCCCUAGCUGGUCUGAGAGGAUGAUCAGCCACACGGGGACUGAGACACGGCCCAGACUCCUACGGGAGGCAGCAGUGGGGAAUAUUGCACAAUGGGCGCAAGCCUGAUGCAGCCAUGCCGCGUGUAUGAAGAAGGCCUUCGGGUUGUAAAGUACUUUCAGCGAGGAGGCGUUACUCGCAGAAGAAGCACCGGCUAACUCCGUGCCAGCAGCCGCGGUAAUAC
This 406-nucleotide ribosomal RNA is filed under the name uncultured bacterium. RNAcentral's name for it is "partial 16S ribosomal RNA". It matches the Rfam family "Bacterial small subunit ribosomal RNA", at positions 30 to 526 of the family's 1533-position model. The record is from RNAcentral.